UAUGAUCCUGCCUCGCAUGGGGUGGGGUGGAAAGCUUUUUGUGGUGGGGGAGUGGACUCGCGGCCUAUCAGCUUGUUGGUGAGGUAGUGGCUCACCAAGGCGACGACGGGUAGCCGGCCUGAGAGGGCGACCGGCCACACUGGGACUGAGACACGGCCCAGACUCCUACGGGAGGCAGCAGUGGGGAAUAUUGCACAAUGGGCGGAAGCCUGAUGCAGCGACGCCGCGUGAGGGAUGAAGGCCUUCGGGUUGUAAACCUCUUUCAGCUCUGAAGAAGCGUGAGUGACGGUAGGAGCAGAAGAAGCACCGGCUAACUACGUGC
Molecule: ribosomal RNA, 322 nt
Filed under: uncultured Janibacter sp.
Lineage: Bacteria; Bacillati; Actinomycetota; Actinomycetes; Micrococcales; Intrasporangiaceae
Description: bacterial SSU rRNA
Rfam family: Bacterial small subunit ribosomal RNA
Source: RNAcentral